RNAcentral lists this long non-coding RNA (588 nucleotides) under Gouania willdenowi (blunt-snouted clingfish). Its description in RNAcentral is "lncRNA (ENSGWIG00000014642.1)". The record is from RNAcentral. Lineage: Eukaryota; Metazoa; Chordata; Actinopteri; Blenniiformes; Gobiesocidae.
GACUCGCCACACUUUGUCAGUCGUAGCGUCUGCGCAGGACCGUGAGGAGGACGCACACACGCACAGACACACACACAGACACGUGCCGUCCACCGUACGGACAGAGGACGUUCUUUCUAAUCUUUUGCUGAAAUGAGAACUGACACUGAGGGGAAAUCUUGUCAGAUUUUUUUUUACAGGAUUUAAUCGAUUUGAUGGAGAGGAUUUUACGCGCGGUUUCUAAGAAAAUGUUUACAAGGUCAUCACAAAGUUUGCAUCAACUCACAAACAAACAAGGAGGAGGAGAAGAAGAAGAACAAGAAGAAGAAGAAGAAGAAGAACUUAGGAGGCGAGAUGGAGUGUGAUGCGCCCUGCAGAUGGAAACAUACAGGGUGGGUGGUUUGAACCCAGAGACCUGCUGCAGCUCAUCAUCAUCAUCAUCAUGGCCGUGGGCGCUCAGCUCAGCUUCCCUCCCCUCCUCCUCCUCCUCCUCCUCCCGUGGAUCCCACCGCCAUGCAGGGCCCGGCCGGGUGCUGAACCAUCGGGGGCCCCAGUGAGGGUGUGAGUGGGCUGGGAUGGAUGAAUAAAGGCCCCUAAAGGCUGGAAUCA